UCCAUGAUCUGAUCAACUGGCCACUAUUUUAUAAAACAGUCGAAUUCAUUUCGGUCAUUCACUACAGUUAAGCAGGAGAAUUAUAAUACGUGCAUCAUCAAAUCACAAGGAACUAUCGGCGUAUCACUUUACUAUCGGCCUAUCACUUUAAAACGAGUAGCAUUCAUAAUCAUUAUACAUAAAGGCUUUUAAAACGUUGCUGAAUAUUAGGCAUGGGUUAGCCGGUUAUAAGGCAUAUGACAAGGUAAAUUUCAAUUUCAACUGACAGAGUUCACUCCAUGAGGAAAACGACGACACGAUAAGAAUGACAUAACUGUGUAAAUGAAUAUAUUUUGUAAUCUGCAACAAUUCUCUUGAGAAAAUAGAUGUACUGAUACGCAAUAUUAAAAUAUUGCCACAAUGAAUAGUACAAUUUGCAAACAGGAUACGGAAAGAACAGAUAUUGCCAUUAUUAUUUGCGCUGUUUAUCUCCUAACUACAGCUAUCCUGUCAAUUGUUGGCAACCUCAUUGUCUUGUUGGCAAUUCACAACUCCACACGACUGCGAGAACAGCCUUCGAGCGUAUUCGUGGCGAAUUUGAGUAUAUGUGACUUACUGAAUGCCGUCUUUGUAAUAUUACCAACAACAUGCUUUAUCAUCAAAGACAACGCAUCUGUACCCAAUGCCUUUUGCAAUAUACAGUGUGCAUUAAAUUAUGUUUUCAUAAUCGUAUCUAUGCUUUCCCUAGCAAUGAUUGCCGUGGAGCGAUGGGUCUCUGUGUCGUCACCUUUCAAACACAUGGACAUAAUGCGCAAUCGCACUGUCAUGCUUAUGACCUCAUGUACAUGGAUACAGGGGCUGGCCUUUGGGUGUGUGCCGAUCAUAUGCUCAUGGGUUAUGUAUGACUACUGGGAGGCAGUAUGUGCAAUUACCUGGGAUGCCCAUGCCGAUUCUGGUGGGGUGGAGUACGUCGUAACAGCAUUUAUUCUUUGCUUUGCUGUGCCAUCCGUUCUAAUGAUCGCUUGUUAUGGAAAGAUUCUUGCCAUAGUCCAACGGAAAGACACUCAUAGACACCGCUUACAACAGAAACGUAACGAAGAUAUGCGAAUCAUAAAGAGUAUACUUGCCGUAGUCAUCGUAUUCUUUGUUUGUAUGACGCCAUUUUGUAUCACAAAGCUUAUUAAAAUAUUCUUUUCAACUUGUUCCAUCCCAUCGUGGGUGAAUUUGUUCUCAAGUCUAGCACAAUUCACAUCAAGUGCUACCAAUCCCUGGAUAUAUGGUGUCUUCAGAGAGGACUUCCGUUAUGCCGUUAGAAAAACAUUCUGGAAGCUAUAUUCCGCGGUGCCUUGCGGAUCAGGCGACUUAGUGAGACCGGUAUCCCAGCCUAGCUCCUUCAUAUGAGGUUCAUUUAUAUGCUAAACAUCAUGUGACCCGUCCCAACUUCUCUGUUUUUGCGACUUAAUAGAUCUGACAAAAAAUUAAAAUAAAAUGGCACCGUGGCCGUACCAUGAACUGCAGAAAUUCUAGUCUGUAGAUUUAGAAAAGCAAGGGCUUGUUUACCGGGGAGUCACAUACUCUCUUCAAAGUUAGGUCUACUUCCCAAAUUAAUUAGACCCAUUCAUAUUAUGUAUCUAUCAUUUUAUUCCGCAGGCGUAAAUAGGUUCUUUUUAAAGUGGCUGAUCUAGAAUUUAGCAAUGGGGUGGGGGUGAUGUGGGGUGGAUAAUGUGAAGUGAGAAGGCACGAGCGGGGUGAGGGGGGUUGUUUUGGGAGGAGCAUCCCAUUACAUUUGAGAUUUUUUUUGGAAUUAGUAGACUGCUAGACGAUCUCAGGUGGCACCUGAAAAGAAGUAACUUAGCUUAAAAUAGAAAGUAUAUGUUUUACCAGAGUACACGAGAAGCACACAAACAAGACGAGUGACCAUUAUUUUAUUUUUCACGGUAAACGAAGAGGGAUGGCUAGCCACCCUAUUCAACCCCACCCACAAGAUCCGUCACUGUAAAGGAACUAGACAUACACGCUUACCUUUCACAUGAUACUGCAGGUGAAUCUUUGGUGUGAAUUCCCGUCGAAUUUAAGCGUUUGAAGAUCUAUAGGCCUAGCAUGUAUUUAGAUUCCGUAAAUGCUUUUGACUCCCCGGAAUAUUUUUAUUCUACAAAAUAGUGUUCAUCAUGCAUUCAACAUCACAAUUUCAUGUAAUUCCUUGUAUCACUUUUACCCAAAAUAACAUGUGGUAAACUUUUGAAAUCGUUAAAUCUGUUAAUUAGGCCUAGUAAAGUUUUAAAAGAGCAACAUCCUACCAUGCUACCUUUAGAAUGAUUUACAAAAAAAAAGCAAUUCAUAAUACUUUUUGCAUUUAAAUUUAUAGCGUAUAUUCGUCGUGUCUACUCAUAUCACUGUCGGACGAUCACACCCGUCAGCCUGAACCUGUGUGGUUAGUGAUAUUUAAGAAAGGUUAAAACUCCGAUCAAGAAGGCUAUUCGUGAAAGGAUUUGCACCAAACGAGCGUCUGUAAAACGAGGGGUUCGUGUAUUUUGUCAAUAAUUUCGUAUCCUUAAUUACGAAAUAUCACGGUAUUACGAAGCAUUUAUCAUGUGAAUGGAAUUACUAACGUGGAUAAUCGGAGAAAACGACUCCUAGAUUACACAAGAAAAUUUAAUGAAACAUUGUAAUAAGUUAUUUUGCGUUAAUGAUUGAGGUAUUCCAUCAGAUGAUGGAGUUUUGUUAACGGUGCAAUAGACGCAUGCCAGUGUAUAUCAACAAGGGUUCAGGAAUUUUAAUAGUUGAUUAUUAAAUAAGGCCUACUAUUAGUAUUACACCAUCUGUAUCCUUAUCGAUAUCAUUAUGAUAAUGAUAUAUAAGUAUUAUUUUAAUAAAACUUCAUCGGUUUUCAAAGUUAAUUUUAAUCAAUUUCCUUAAUAUUAAAACCAGUAUACUUUGUUUGUUGUAAAUAGUUUCGCUAACUACCAAUAAACUUA
This 2954-nucleotide unclassified non-coding RNA is filed under the name Anneissia japonica. RNAcentral describes it as "g-protein coupled receptor 26-like, transcript variant X4". Lineage: Eukaryota; Metazoa; Echinodermata; Crinoidea; Comatulida; Comatulidae. The record is from RNAcentral.